GCCAAUGGCCAAAUUGCUCAGAAUGUGCCCGAUCUCAUUGGAUCUCAGAAGCUAAGCUGUUUUCAACGUGGAAAGUGCUUGGAUGAGAAACCACCGUACACAAGGUGUUGCCAUCGGCU
This 119-nucleotide ribosomal RNA is filed under the name Petromyzon marinus (sea lamprey). The record is from RNAcentral. Lineage: Eukaryota; Metazoa; Chordata; Hyperoartia; Petromyzontiformes; Petromyzontidae.